UUUUCAGACGAGACUCAGAAACUCUUUUAUUAAAUUGAACACAAAAUGACUGUUAUAAUGACAUCAAGCCUUUAUCAGAAAUCAGUACAUAAGUGAGGAUACACAGCCAAAAUGAGCCAUCAACAUAAGCAGUGUAAAUUUUAAAUAACUUUCAGUUUCUAUAUUCAAUAUACUGAAGAAAAUAAAACCAAAAGAGAAAUUUCAGUUUCACAAUUCACAGUUAAUUGGUUUUAAUCCCAUGACACUAUUGUCAUUUAUGUAGCCUCAGAACACAGAUUUCCAAAAUGGUGACUGGCACAUAGGCCCAACAGCAUACAUGGAUGGUAAACCCCUGUAUAACAUUUAGAGAAAACUGUAGGAAACAGUCCCAAUUUCAUACAGUUUUGGCUGGCAUAUUUUAGCUAUAUCCUUUAUCAGAGACAUUGUUCUAAUGAAAUAAUAAAAGUAGUUUAAAAGCUUGCCAUGCCAUUAAAUGAAGGGUUCUAAAUUCUCCCUUGGUUUUUCAUAAUUUUAUUCUCUAAUAUAAAAUAAUCACUGCACUAAAAUGCAACCUUAACAGUGAAAGCGACAUCAGUUUUGCUUCUGGAUCUAGAGCAUACAUCCAAGAGAGGCAACUUAUUGUCCUAGCAGAUACAUGGAAUGCUUUAGAGCAGAGUCUGACAUAUUCUAGUAAGGCAUCUCAAAGCAGACAACCACACCCAAACUAAAUUAUUAUGGUCAGGCAAGGAUACCACAAGGUGAACACCAAUUAACACAGACUCAACAUGAAAUUCUUACAAAAUGACACAAUAAUUUACAAAACCACAGAAAGGUGCUCAAGUACCAAAAGAAGGCAAAACAAUCACCAGCCACUCUAAAAGAGUUUUGUUCCCAUAAAUGCCAGAUUUUCAGAAUAGAAACAAACUGCUUUACAUGUGCUUUGCCCUGGAAUAAUAUCGUUCAUCCAGACACAUGGGGUUACUUUCCCUUAAAAAAAUAUAUCAUGUAGAGAAUAUACAUAUAAUCAGUGAUAUAGAACAUUUAUUUUCACUAGUGAGGGGGUCACUUAAGCACUUACAUAGAGUUAUGAGUGAAUCAUGAAGGUUAUUUAAAUGUAAAAGGAAAUCUGAUCAAACUUGUAUUUUGAAUUACUAUUCAACAGCAAAGUGAGAUUUUUCACAGUUGCAUUGACUUAAUAAGGAACUAUGACCAUGGGAAAAGUCUUUAAGGUCAAAGAAUUGUGAAAUGUCUAAAAAUGAAAGUCUAAUCAGUAAAAAUACACACUUUCAUUUUAAGGGUCCCAAAAGAAGUGUUCAGUUAUUCUGAGAGCCAUGAAUCUUAUAAACAAGCACAAGAAUAUGAAUCAGGAAUACUGAAGUUUCAGUUCUGACUUACCCACUGAAUCUUCACAACCUGCAACAAGUCACUUAAAUUCUUCUGAUUUUGUCCACAAAAAAAGGCAUAAAAAUAAAGGCAUAUGUCAAUUUUUUUUUCCUAAACAGUACUUGAGUAAAGCUAAAGAUGGCUACUAAGGCUCACAAUUUCAACAACUCCUCAUUGUACAGUACAAUCAUUUUUAAUCCUGCUAAUUAUGGCUAAAAGAAAGCAUGGGCCAUUACAAUUCUCAGGGAAUUCAAAGGCUUUAGAUAAAUUAAUGGUUUUACCUUUUGAAACUACUUAAUCUGUUCUUCUACAGUUGUUUAAAAUAGCUAAUCAUCUAUGAGGCUGACUCUUUACUCUUAUUUUCUGGAAGUACAGGUGAAAGUAGUAAAAGGAGAAGUGGUACCAUGGAGAAAAGCAGCAGUAGAUUGAAAUGAGGUAUAAGCUGAUUUAAUAAAUGCCAAUCAGUAAUUUACAGUUUGUUUUUUAAGAAGCUGCAUAGUUCAGAAAAAACACAUAAGACAGGGGUAAAGAAAAAAUGCUUAUCAUGAAGUUUUAAAAUGCAUGACAACUAAGCAUUUAAAAUGAACAACACCAAAAAACUUCACUUUGAAAAGGAGUCAUCUUACCUCACUCUAAGCACAUUCAAAAACAGAAACUGGAAAGGCUAAAGUUCACAGGAGAAAAAGAGGAUGUUAAUUGUCUCAGGUUAUCAACUUCAUACACUGCUUUUUAAAAGAUAUUAAUAUUCAAACAAAUGUUAAACUCUAAUUUAUGACACCUAUGCCAAAGCUUUUAAGGGAAAUACACUGUCUGAAAUUUAUCUUAAAAUGUGUAUUUUUUAAAAAUUCUAUUGUUUAAUAGUUGAAUAGAGGGAUAGAUAAGCACUAAUACAAGUACCAUAAAAUGUUGAUGGUAGAAUCUAAGUGGUGGAUAUAUUGUAAAAUCCUUCAACUCUAAUGUACAUUUCAAAUUUUAAUAGUAAAGUGUUAUGAAAAAAUGUUAAUACUUCUAUAAUAUUAAUUCUAUAAUAAAAUUAAUAAAAUUUUAAAGACUCAAAGUACUCAGGCAAUUUAGAAUUUUAAAUUAAUUGAAGUGAGGAAAAAUUUGCUUUUACAUACUUUGAACCUGAUUUGUUAGGAUGCCUGUUUUGGGGGUUUUCUUGUUUGUUUUUGUUUUGGCUGCCCCAAGGCAUAUGAAGUUCCCAGGUAAGGGAUCAGAUCUGAGCUGCAGUCAUGACCCAAGCUACUGUUGCAGCAAUGCCAGAUCUUUAACCCACUGUGACGGGUGGGGAUCAAAUCGUCAUCCUAGUGCUCCCAAGAUGCUGCCGAUCCUGUUGUGCCAUAGUGGGAACUCCUAAGAUGCCUGUUUUAAUGCAAAGAUGAACUAGCACAAUUAAUAAGUAUUGUACAAGACAGUCUCUUUACACACUUCAUUUGCAAAUACAUAAUUCUAUCCUCUCUACAGAAUUAAAUAAGUUUGAAAAAGACACUGGAAUAAAGUUUUUCCAAACAUCAACAUCAAGCUCUUCCCAACCAACCACACUACCAUUCACUAAAAAUAAAAUGUAACACAGAUCAAGAUAAAGAAAUACCAAUGACUGUUGCCAGCCUGGGACAAGUGCAUUCAUUUUCAGAAUGUAUGGUUCCUGAUUAAUAAUUAUUCAGUUUUACUCAAUAUCAAAUUGAGACUGCAUGAAGAAAAAAUGAGAUGUAGAACACAGAAUUCACACCAACCUUUGCUAUUCCAAGAUCCUAUUUUAUGAAUGGUGAUUAAUGGCAAUAGUUCUAUCAUCUCUUCUCUCUGUGAAAUGCUAAAACUUGCUAAAGGCACUCAUAUUCUGGGCUUAACGAAGACAAGGUCACAUAGGACCAUAAGCCAGUAUUUUUUUGGUACCUACCCAGAAAGGGAGUUGAUAAAUGAUCUCCCAUUCAUAAAGGGAAAACAAAGUCAAACAGCUAUCAGUAGAAAUGCUGUAUGAGAAACUAUGUACACUGUUAUUUGCCCAUUCAGUUAGGUUGACUGUAAUAGCCCACAAUGACAGGGGUCCACCACCAAAAAAAAAAAACUAAAGUAACAACAAAACACUCUUUAUUAUGAAUGAAACUCCUGAACAGAGAUUUGGCUGGU
RNAcentral lists this long non-coding RNA (3489 nucleotides) under Sus scrofa (pig). Its description in RNAcentral is "lncRNA (ENSSSCG00000059711.1)". The record is from RNAcentral. Lineage: Eukaryota; Metazoa; Chordata; Mammalia; Artiodactyla; Suidae.